Molecule: ribosomal RNA, 484 nt
Filed under: uncultured bacterium
Lineage: Bacteria
Description: partial 16S ribosomal RNA
Rfam family: Bacterial small subunit ribosomal RNA
Source: RNAcentral
AUUGAACGCUGGCGGAAUGCUUUACACAUGCAAGUCGAACGGCAGCACGGGGGCAACCCUGGUGGCGAGUGGCGAACGGGUGAGUAAUAUAUCGGAACGUGCCCGGUCGUGGGGGAUAACGUAGUGAAAGUUACGCUAAUACCGCAUACGAUCUGAGGAUGAAAGCGGGGGACCUUCGGGCCUCGCGCGAUCGGAGCGACCGAUGUCAGACUAGGUAGUUGGUGGGGUAAAGGCCUACCAAGCCGACGAUCUGUAGCUGGUCUGAGAGGACGACCAGCCACACUGGGACUGAGACACGGCCCAGACUCCUACGGGAGGCAGCAGUGGGGAAUGUUGGACAAUGGGCGCAAGCCUGAUCCAGCCAUUCCGCGUGCAGGACGAAGGCCUUCGGGUUGUAAACUGCUUUUGUAUGGAACGAAAAGGCUCUGGCUAAUACCUGGGGCUCAUGACGGUACCGUAAGAAUAAGCACCGGCUAACUACGUG